CCAACGAAGUUUAAUAUUUUGUCUGAAAGAGGAUUAUCAUGUUUGCGUUAUUAAAUGGCAAUUUGCCCUUUGAGCACUUGUUUCUUGCUCCUCUAAUAUGUAAAUUUUGUUCGUUUUUUUGUUAGUUAUUUACUUUGUAAAUGAGAUAUAUCUGACUCCCUUAUUUGAUGUUAUUUUCUCUCUUUCCUUAAAACCAAAAUAAAAGAGUGAAGAAACAUUAAUAUCGACUGUCUCAUAGUUAGACUGCAAACUACUUCCAAGUUUUUUUGCCUAAGUGAAGAUUGUGAGGUUAGUGCUAGAGAGUUUGCUGAGCACGUUGGUACCAGAUUGGGUACAUUGCGCCUAUUAUUUUAGGAAAUGUGUUCGACAUCUCUACUAUGUACUUAGCAUCAUCACACCAAUAACUAUGGUACCCAGCUUAUGUAAUGCCUAUUUAUUAGAAAACAUGGGUUGAUUAACUAUUUCAUUGAAUCAAUACAAUUGAAAAGGGGAAUGAGCAUCUUAACUAACUGAAGUUACAUAACUAACAAGUAUGAGUAACAAUCUAACUAACUAUGAUUGAAAAUAGACUAAGUAAAUGAGAAAAAGUUAAGAUUAAGUGUCUAAGUCAAUCAAUAAAAGCUAAGUCUGUCAGCCCCUAAUCAGCAAGCUCCCAGCCAGUUCUUAGUCACCCAGCCAGCUCCUUGCCAGUGAAUCAACAAGCUUGAGUAUAAGCUUCAUCCUUUGUCUUCUAACACUAUUGGACAUUGAUCUACAAGACAAAUAAUUAUGGUGGAUAUGUGCAACACAAAGGUUACUUCACACAACAGCAGAAUGCAACUGCACCCCCUCAGUAUCAAUCAGAUGUUUCAAAACAAUUUCCUAUUCCUAUAAACAACAUUCAGCAACCAAAUGGAACUUCACACCAAGUAUAAUUUAAUUAAGAAAAAAAUGUGUAUUAUUUAUAUGAAAAUGAAUCUAUUGCAUAACCAUACCUGUUUUUCUUAUGUUAUCUGCAACAAUGACAAUAAUCCAGUUGAACGAGGCAAGCUAUUUUCAUUAGUAUUUUUUUUAACUUCUUGUUGAUUUCUGUGUAAACUUUUUUGUACUUCUGUUAGGUUGACAGCCAAACAUGAGAUUUCUGAAAGUUCAGCCAUUCAUGCAUCUUUGCACUUGUCAUGUUUUGAGUAAAUUAAUAAUUAUAUACUAGUAUGUACAAGUUCAAUUAGCACGUGAAUGUGGUUUGAGUAAAUUAAUGAAAAUAGGUCCAAAUGUU
This 1255-nucleotide long non-coding RNA is filed under the name Cicer arietinum (chickpea). RNAcentral describes it as "long non-coding RNA (CARI_LNC001702)". Lineage: Eukaryota; Viridiplantae; Streptophyta; Magnoliopsida; Fabales; Fabaceae. The record is from RNAcentral.